AUUGAACGCUGGCGGCAGGCCUAACACAUGCAAGUCGAACGGUAACAGGAAGACGCUUGCUUCUUUGCUGCCGAGUGGCGGACGGGUGAGUAAUGUCUGGGAAACUGCCUGAUGGAGGGGGAUAACUACUGGAAACGGUAGCUAAUACCGCAUAACGUCGCAAGACCAAAGAGGGGGACCUUCGGGCCUCUUGCCAUCGGAUGUGCCCAGAUGGGAUUAGCUAGUAGGUGGGGUAACGGCUCACCUAGGCGACGAUCCCUAGCUGGUCUGAGAGGAUGACCAGCCACACUGGAACUGAGACACGGUCCAGACUCCUACGGGAGGCAGCAGUGGGGAAUAUUGCACAAUGGGCGCAAGCCUGAUGCAGCCAUGCCGCGUGUAUGAAGAAGGUCUUCGGGUUGUAAAGUACUUUCAGCGGGGAGGAAGGGAGUAAAGUUAAUACCUUUGCUCAUUGACGUUACCCGCAGAAGAAGCACCGGCUAACUCCGUG
Molecule: ribosomal RNA, 490 nt
Filed under: uncultured bacterium
Lineage: Bacteria
Description: partial 16S ribosomal RNA
Rfam family: Bacterial small subunit ribosomal RNA
Source: RNAcentral